This 106-nucleotide transfer RNA is filed under the name Citrobacter amalonaticus. RNAcentral describes it as "tRNA-Pro". Lineage: Bacteria; Pseudomonadati; Pseudomonadota; Gammaproteobacteria; Enterobacterales; Enterobacteriaceae. RNAcentral also lists the same sequence under 1 other name. The record is from RNAcentral.
UGGGGUGCAGGUCACUUCCGCUUCUGGCACAUAGCAGCCUUCAUAACAGUAGCACUCCGUCAUGGGGUGUCGGGGGUCGGAGGUUCAAAUCCUCUCGUGCCGACCA